Molecule: ribosomal RNA, 228 nt
Filed under: uncultured bacterium
Lineage: Bacteria
Description: partial 16S ribosomal RNA
Rfam family: Bacterial small subunit ribosomal RNA
Source: RNAcentral
UGCGCAGGCGGGCUUGUAAGUCAGUGGUGAAAUACUGCCGCUCAACGGUAGAACUGCCAUUGAUACUGCAAGUCUUGAAUAUGGUUGAGGUAGGCGGAAUGUGUCGUGUAGCGGUGAAAUGCAUAGAUAUGACACAGAACGCCAAUUGCGAAGGCAGCUUACUAAGCCAUUAUUGACGCUGAGGCACGAAAGCGUGGGGAGCGAACAGGAUUAAAUACCCUGGUAGUC